Molecule: ribosomal RNA, 390 nt
Filed under: Dociostaurus hispanicus
Lineage: Eukaryota; Metazoa; Arthropoda; Insecta; Orthoptera; Acrididae
Description: 12S ribosomal RNA
Source: RNAcentral
AUACCCUAUUAUUUUAAGUGUUAAUUUUACUUACCUGGGUACUAUUAGUUAGGAUCUUUAAACCCAAAGAAUUUGGCGGUACCUUAUUCCAUUCAGAGGAACCUAUCCCGUAAUUGAUAAUACACGAUUUACUUUACUUAAUUUAUUUGUUUGUAUAUCUCCGUUAUCAGAAAAUCUUAUUGGAGUUAUAAUUUUCUUGAUUUAUGAUUGUAAAAUAUUUCAGGUCAAGGUGCAGCUUAUAAUUAAGAGGAGGUGGGUUACAAUAAAUUUUUGUUUAUUAUGGAUUUAAUAGUUAAAUACUUUUAAUGAAGGUGGAUUUGAUAGUAAUUUAAUUAAGUUAUUUUAAUUGAUAUUGGCUCUAAGGUGUGUACACAUCGCCCGUCACUCUCA